ACCCUGUGUGGACUGAGGCCACCAUGUGCACGGUUUUCAGCUAUGCCUCAUUCGCUUGCUGUGUGAAUCUGGGCUGCAGGGCCUGCUGCUGUGUGCCACAGGCCAGUGCCCUGCAGUGCAAUUGUACCUGAGGACCCAAGGUGGCCAGGGAAGCCCCAGGUGCGACUUGGCAGGGGAAGCAGGGGCUGUGGACGGAUGGAGAGCUGUCAUGUGGAAAGGCAGUGUGUCCCCAGGCCGUGGCCCAGCCUCCAACACCCCCAAGUCCCCUCCAGGCCUCUCCAGACCAGGCCCACCACAUACUGCCUGUGCAACCUCGGAAACCUCCUGGGAACAUCCACCAUAUGCCAGGCAUAGUGUCAGACAGGAGGGGACAGAGAAAAACAAGAUCAACAACCGCCCUGCCCUUGUGGAGCUGGCGUUCUAGUACCGGAGACAAAACAAGGUGCUUCCAAGGAGGAAGCCGUGCUCAUCAGACACACACAGUAGAUGAGGGAGUAUGGUUGAAACAAGACUUGUCCUGAGUUGAUAUGGAAGCUGGGUAAUGGAUACAUCCACCUUCAUUAUAUGAUUUUCUCUAUAUUAGUAAGAAAACAAAAGCUUUUAUUAAAAAUUUUAAACAUGAUAUAAA
This 628-nucleotide long non-coding RNA is filed under the name Homo sapiens (human). RNAcentral describes it as "HSALNT0388837". Lineage: Eukaryota; Metazoa; Chordata; Mammalia; Primates; Hominidae. The record is from RNAcentral.